GGAAGGGAACCCGAGAGGCGCUAACAACUUUUCCUCUCUUCGCCGGAUCGAUGCUUGCUACCUGAAGUAAGCCCUGAAUUAUGGCGGCUUCUGCGCCGACACCGCAUGGAACUGACUCUCCAGCAGAGGGGCGAUGCGGUUACUAUGUGGAAAAGAAGAAGCGGUUCUGCAGGAUGGUGGUGGCAGCGGGGAAAAGGUUCUGUGGUGAACACGCUGGAGCGGCGGAGGUCUGGUAUCGCCUUACCCUCUCGAGGGUCGGAAAUAAGUUUCCUGGUCCGGCACUUUCCCUCUCUGACAGAUUUCUGCUUCUGUCCCCUGGAGUUUCCAGCUUUUCCCGUGAUAAACGCAGUCCUGGCCUCCCUAGGGAGCGAUGAUGAGCCGUAGUGAAGUGCAGUGUUGUCUUGUACUAAGUAAAGCGCCAGCAGUGACCCGUUUAUCUUGAUACCAACUCGUGGUAACGCUAGAUUGUAGUUUUACCGCAGACUACCGCUUCUUGCGCUCCGCUCACUCUCCGCCUUCCUGAUGGGAAGUGGUGGUUUAGAAAGAAGACAGAUCCCAAGGAAGAAAAUGCUCGGAAAAGAAUCCUGUGUCCUUUAGAUCCAAAACACACAGUAUAUGAAGAUCAACUAGCAAAGCAUUUGAAAAAAUGUAACUCAAGAGAGAAGCCAAAACCUGACUUCUUUAUUCAAGAUAUUAAUGCAGGCUUAAAAGAUGAAACCGAAAUACCUGAACAAUUAGUUCCAAUUUCUUCUCUUUCUGAAGACCAGUUGGAAAACUUAAUUAAGAAAUUGAGAAAAGCAAGUGAAGGUUUGAACUUUACACUUGAAGAUCAAAUUAUGUCCCAUCCAGCAUUGCAUGAUGCCCUUAAUGACCCUAAAAAUGGUGAUUCUGCAACCAAACAUCUGAAACAGCAGGUAUGUUUAAGCUAUAGUAACUCUGCUAAAAAUGCCUUUUUGUCCAUUUGUCAAAGCUAACAUUUUAUUGUUUCUUAAUUUAGUUACUAAUAAGAUUUUGUUUAGAUUAACUUUCAGGUUUCAGAAUCUUUCCAUUUCAAAAAAAAAUGUAUAUAAACAUAUAUAAAAUUCUUUGGCAUGGAUAUGGUUUUAAGUACUACGUGUUAAGUAUUUAAAAGCUAGAGAAAAACUUUAAAGUCAAACAAAAAUCAUCAGUGUGAGCACACUGCCUUAUGUAGAAAUUACCUUAUUAUUUUCCCAUUUGAACCAAAUGUGUUUGCUGUGGUUUAUAAAAUAAUCUUGUGAAGUUUGCAGGCUUCUAUUUUAGGUAACAUUGAAAAAUUAAAGUUACUUGGUCCAAGAAGAUGCUUUGUUGAGUUUGGAGCAGGAAAGGGAAAAUUAUCUCAUUGGGUUGAUAUUGCCUUAAAUGAUGCUGAAAAAGUUCACUUCAUCCUAGUAGAAAAGGUGACCACAAGAUUCAAGGUAGAUGGCAAACACAGAAAGAAAAACUCAGUAUUCGAGAGACUUCAAAUUGAUAUUCAACACUUGUGUUUGAGCAAGAUCCCUUUGUUAAGCAAAGAAAAACUACCUGUGGUCGGAAUUGGGAAGCAUCUGUGCGGUGUGGCCACAGGUGUGAUUGGAGACAUUAUGUGGGCAAAGAAUAUUUCAGGGCUCUAGGCCUUGGAGCAGUGGAAUUCCACUAUUUCCAGCGAAUGAGUAGUUGGGCGACUUGUGGGAUGCGAAAAACAUCUUCAGAAGCUUCAAAUAUUUCCACAAAAAGAGAAGAGAAACAGAACAACGACAGCGAAGAGCAUGAGGGUGGAGGAUACAGAAUCACAGACGACAACACCGAGAGUUUGCCUGGGUUUCUUACAGUUGAAGAAAAGAAGAAAAUAGGGCAUCUUUGUAAGCUGCUGAUUGACCAAGGCCGAAUCAAGUAUUUACAGCAGAAAGGAUUCAGUCCUGCUUUACAGUAUUAUACAGACCCUCUGGUGUCUUUGGAAAAUGUACUGUUAACUGCUUUACCAAAUCAUUCUUCGUCACCAGAAACAACCGCUUAAUGGAAAAGAAAUUUUGAACAUCUGUCUUCCACCAAAAAACAUUUUUUAAUUAUAUUUUUAUAUUCAUGAAAAUAUAAAUAGCAGAUCAUAUGAACUUUAAAAAAUGUUGCAGCCUCAUGGAACUUUGGUAAUGGCUUUGUUUUUUACUUCAGAAGGUCCAAACAUUAGAGAAUUCACCAAAUUCCCAAAGUAAUCCUCUUCAACAGGGCAUCACGGAUUAUAUUAUCCAUCAGCAUUUACAGAGGUUGGUAAAGUAGUCGAGCAGUUUACUUGGUUACCUGGAACACACAUAACAUGUCAGCAUGUAACUAGGCAUAUUAACUUUCUAUUUACAUUAAUUUUGGAAAUUUAUUUUCCUUUGGUUUUGUUUAAUACUUUUUAUUUUUCAAGUUCAAGAUAUAGUGGACAAUUGUCAAUUUACAGCAAGGACCAAUAUGAGAGUCUUGCUUAGAUACAGAUUUUUUUGUCCAGGCAGAUCUGGAAAGAAUAAUUAAUUUUCAUUGUUUCUGAUGCAAACAAAUUCAGAAGAUUCACAAACAGUUAAGGAAUUUGCCUUCAGAUUUCGAGAGCCAUACCUGUAUUUAUACACUGUCAGAACUUGUUCAUAACAAACACCAAAACUAAAGAUGUUUUCAAGAACAAAAGCUAUUUUACUUCACUUUUUUAAUUGGAUAAUUAUCUAGUUAGAACUUCCAAAAAUAAACUUAUAAGCCUAAUUCACAAAUUAAAUUGACACUUGCAAAUAACUUCUGGAGUUAAUUAGGUAUUAUAUUUUUUAACAGGCCAUUUUUAAAUGUACAGGAACAAAUAUAAAUAUAUUUUAUAUUUCUACUUGGGAAAAUAAUUUGAAGUAAAAUGGAAAUUAGAUAAUGAUACCAAAAACUUUCUCACUUUUUGGCCUCAUUUAACUCACCAUCUGUUUCUAUGCAUAAACAGACAUUAAGCCAAACAUAUGGUAGGACUGUUAAUCGUUUCCUCAUCUUAUCUUUGGUUUAUUUCUGCCUUAUUUGUAAAAAUGGUCUUAAUUGGCACAUUUGCCAAGAUAAAGAUCCAGAAUUACUGAUUUUAGAUAUUAUAAUGAUAUUUUUCAGUAACUAUAUUUUUAUUUGUAGGUCUGUGUUUACAUUAAUUGUAAAUUAGAAGACUGGCUCAUUUUUAAUUUCUGACCUUUCUACCUUAAUCUUAAUGUCUAAUGAGACUACCUAGUUUAAGUCCUAACCCUACUACUUGAUCUCUUUGUGCCUCAAUUCCCCUCUUAAAAUGGGGGUGAUACAGAUAAUAAUACCUCACAAGGUGGUUGUGAGCAUUAAGUGAGAUAACACAUUAAAAUGCGUAACACUUCUGGAGUUCCUGUUGUGGUGCAGCGGAGAUGAAUCUGACUAGGAACCAUGAGGUUGCAGGUUCAACCCCUGGCAUCACUCAGUGGGUUAAGGAUCAGGCGUUGCUGUGAGCUGUGGUGUAGGUCGCAGAUGCAGCUCGGAUCCUGCAUUGCUGUGGCUCUGGCGUAGGCCGGUGGCUACAGCUCCGAUUCAACCCCUAGCCUGGGAACCUCCAUAUGCCGCGGGUGCAGCCCUAAAAAGCAAAAAAAAAAAAAAAAAAAUGCUUAACACUUCUAAGUACAGAGCAACUACACAAUAAAUAUCAACUAUUAUUAAUAGUACUAAUUCAUAAAAAUAUUUUUAAUGACAUAACAGGCAGGCUUGGUUUUAUUAUCUUAGUUUAAAUUGUAACCUUUUUUAUUUUGUUGUAAGUUCUGUACCAAAUACUAUUAAAAUAAGGUGGCUUGAUUAUUUUUUAAAUAAGCUGUUCAUGCCUGCAAAUCAAGAACAUAAAUGAAGAUAAUACAUCAUUCAAUAAUUAACCUGAUUGUACUGAGUUAGGCAAUGCUAAUUUGUGUCAAUCUGUUUCACUUCAUUCAACGAUUCAUACCCAGAAAUAAAAGAUAUUCUACAACAGGCA
Non-coding RNA from Sus scrofa (pig), 3973 nucleotides. The record is from RefSeq and is a predicted model, not a curated record. NCBI's taxonomy places the organism in Eukaryota, Metazoa, Chordata, Mammalia, Artiodactyla, Suidae.